UCUGCUGCGUAUUUGGAAGCUCAUUGCAAACAUGCUAAAAUCAUGAACCUUUUUAAAAAAUCACAGUUAUCAGCUGAGUGGUCCAAUUCAUGUAUUGAAUUUCAAUAUUACCACAAACUACUGCUGUCUUCUUAAAAACAAGUCAUUGGAAAGACUGCCUUGUAGAGACUGUGGGGGUUCUCACAUCCAAAUCUUCCCAGCUUGAUAUAACAUUCCUCCUAUAUACUGGCCUGGGUAUUGUUUAUUUCCACUGGAAGUGCACAGUGUCUCAGUCUCAGGAUUCAAGUCAUUCCUCCAGUAAGGAACCUGCUGUAGGAAAGAUCUCACUUCUGGACUUAAAAGAAUCAGUUGGAACUUGAAGGUCAGUUUGAGAGCCCUGGACUCACUGGAGGACACUGAAACAACUCACAUGUUAAGAACUUUACUCCAAGUUGGCUACUGGCCAUAACAUCGCAAUUCUCUACCUACUUCAAACUGAACUUCUAAAUCUUGACUGUUGGGCCGAAGUAUGCAUUUCAACUUGCAAAUGGAGAUUAUGAAAGUAUGCAUUAUACAUUCAUGGCGUUAUCCUUACAUGAAAAUUAAGGCAGGAUUAAAAGGUAAAAUUUGAUUCAUUAAUAAACUUUUGAGUUUUGA
Long non-coding RNA from Mus musculus (house mouse), 636 nucleotides. RefSeq annotates it as predicted gene, 33290. Lineage: Eukaryota; Metazoa; Chordata; Mammalia; Rodentia; Muridae. The record is from RefSeq and is a predicted model, not a curated record. The transcript has 2 exons.